This 449-nucleotide ribosomal RNA is filed under the name uncultured cyanobacterium. Its description in RNAcentral is "bacterial SSU rRNA". It matches the Rfam family "Bacterial small subunit ribosomal RNA", at positions 28 to 524 of the family's 1533-position model. The record is from RNAcentral. Lineage: Bacteria; Bacillati; Cyanobacteriota.
GAUGAACGCUGGCGGUAUGCUUAACACAUGCAAGUCGAACGGGCUCUUCGGAGUUAGUGGCGGACGGGUGAGUAAUGCGUAAGAAUCUAGCUUUAGGUCGGGGACAACAGUUGGAAACGGCUGCUAAUACCGGAUAUGCGGAGACGUGAAAGUUUUAAUGCCUAAAGAAGAGCUUACGUCCGAUUAGCUAGUUGGUGGGGUAAGAGCCUACCAAGGCGACGAUCGGUAACUGGUCUGAGAGGAUGAUCAGUCACACUGGAACUGAGACACGGUCCAGACUCCUACGGGAGGCAGCAGUGGGGAAUUUUCCACAAUGGGCGAAAGCCUGACGGAGCAAUACCGCGUGAGGGACGAAGGCUUUUGGGUCGUAAACCUCUUUUAUUAGGGAAGAUAAUGACGGUACCUAAUGAAUAAGCAUCGGCUAACUCUGUGCCAGCAGCCGCGGUAAU